This 344-nucleotide long non-coding RNA is filed under the name Mytilus galloprovincialis (Mediterranean mussel). Lineage: Eukaryota; Metazoa; Mollusca; Bivalvia; Mytilida; Mytilidae. The record is from RNAcentral.
CAAAUAUAGUUGACCUAUUGCGUAUGGUAAUUGAAAAACAGACAAAACACACACUUGACAUGGACCAAUGAAACAUGAAAUUAGACCAAGGUAAGAUUAAACCUAACAGACAGAAAUGUGCACAUAAAAUUUCAUUCCAUGUACACCAAACACAUUUGACCUAUUGCAUCAAGUACUUGAAAAACAGACCAAAACACAAAAACUUAUCAUUGACAAUUGAACCUUACAAAUGAGGUCAAGGUAGGAUGAAAGCUGACAGACAGACAUGUACCUAUAACAUUCAUCCUAUUAUACAUCAAAUAUAGUUGUUCUACUGCUUAUAGUAUCUCAAAAACAGACCAGCA